CCAGAAAAGGUCAGAAGUCUGAGGUACCUGAGAGAAGACAGAAAAAUGAGAUCUGGAAUUUGAGGAGCGCCUGUUAGGAGAAGAGCCAUCUUUACUACUUCCCAAAAGAUUCCCUGUUCUAGUUGGCCUUCUAUAUUGGUGGUUUCUGAAUACAUACCCCAAAGAACUUGAGCAUCAGUGAAUUCUGGUAUCUUCUGGGAGCCCUGGAACUAAUCUCUUGAAGAUACCAAGGGAUGACUGUGUUUUAAAAUGUGAGAGAGAGAUGUCACUCAGGACUG
Molecule: non-coding RNA, 278 nt
Filed under: Pongo abelii (Sumatran orangutan)
Lineage: Eukaryota; Metazoa; Chordata; Mammalia; Primates; Hominidae
Source: RNAcentral